CUCAGCUGCUGCUGGCGUGAGAUCACGGGGGUUUAAAGCUCGUGAGUGCUUGCUAGGUGAGUUGCAAAUGCCUUCAUGUAUGCUGGAGCUUGUGUAGCACUGGUUAGAGAUGCACCUCCUCACCCAUUCAAACUCCUUCCCAGGGCUCAGCCCAGCUCCCAGGGGCAGGUGUUUCUGGUAUUUGGGACAUUUAGGGUGGCCAUAGGGUCCAUGGCUAAAUUUAUAAGGCCAUAGUGUCAUACUGUCUGAUGUCUAAAUGACUGAAAUUCCCAGAUGCUUGCCUGGCAUAGAAAGUUAGCCAAGUGGGAGUCGGGCAUGCUACGGGGUGGUGGUGACAUGUCACUGUUAAUGCAGCAUAUCAUUGCUGUUAAUUGGAUGCCUGGUCUUGGGAGGAGGGUGGUGUAUGAAGUGCUGCAAAGAUGAUAAAUGCUGAACUCUCUCUUUCUGAGACUUCAGUGGAGAAAAUCUUUACCAGAUUCUGAGUGGCACUGACUUUAGCUCAGGUAGGUGUGGAUUACAUUUAGGUCCCUGUGGCCUGGUACUUCAGCCCUGCAGGGAGUGGAGCAGCCCCUUGUUGAACAGCACCUGAAGAGAGCAUAUGCCCACAUUGCCCUUAACAUAGGGAGUGGGUAGACCAGGUUGUAGGAAUGGUGCUCUUAUAGGAGGAGAGUCAGUGACUGCAUGUUAAGGUUCAUGUGUGUCUCUUUUCUCAGGCAUGGGUCUUACCAGUCAUGUGCAUCUGCAGCCUCUUCACAUGUUACCCCUGCCCCCAGAUGGAGUCCGGCCUCAUAUACAGGUGAACUCCUCCUGGGGUAAAUGCCUGUCUCAGGUGAGAUGCCUUGAUCUGGGAAGGGUGCCUGGAGUGAGAGUCUUGGCCAGCUCCUGA
Molecule: long non-coding RNA, 886 nt
Organism: Chrysemys picta bellii (western painted turtle)
Lineage: Eukaryota; Metazoa; Chordata; Testudines; Emydidae
Source: Ensembl